UACGUAUGGGGCUAGCGUUAUCCGGAAUUACUGGGCGUAAAGGGUGCGUAGGCGGUCUUUCAAGCCAGAAGUGAAAGGCUACGGCUCAACCGUAGUAAGCUUUUGGAACUGUAAGACUUGAGUGCAGGAGAGGAGAGUGGAAUUCCUAGUGUAGCGGUGAAAUGCGUAGAGAUAUGGAGGAACACCAGUGGCGAAGGCGGCUUCCUGGUCUGUAACUGACACUGAGGCGCGAAAGCGUGGGGAGCAAACAGGAUUAGAUACCCCCGUAGUCCCUGA
This 276-nucleotide ribosomal RNA is filed under the name uncultured prokaryote. RNAcentral describes it as "partial 16S ribosomal RNA". It matches the Rfam family "Bacterial small subunit ribosomal RNA", at positions 524 to 800 of the family's 1533-position model. The record is from RNAcentral.